Molecule: ribosomal RNA, 2368 nt
Filed under: Cyllopus lucasii
Lineage: Eukaryota; Metazoa; Arthropoda; Malacostraca; Amphipoda; Hyperiidae
Description: partial 18S ribosomal RNA
Rfam family: Eukaryotic small subunit ribosomal RNA
Source: RNAcentral
CCUACCUGGUUGAUCCUGCCAGUGUCUAUAUGCUUGUUUCAAAGACUAAGCCAUGCAUGUCCAAGUACAGCUCGGGGGGCAACUCCCGGGUGAAACCGCAGACGGCUCAUUAAAUCAGUUGUGGUCUAAAUGGGCGAAAGAUAUCUAAUGGAUAACUGUGGAAAAUCCAGAGCUAAUACAUGCGAAUCCCAGGUCCUGAGCCAAAGGCGCUUCUUCGGGAGUGUUUAGUAACUCGGGAUGCUUUUAUUAGACCGAGGCGCGCGCACACCAGAAACGACCAGCGUCUUUACGGAUGUUGGUACCGGGCUGUAUUGUUUGUGUCGCACUGUAAGCGCUAUAUGGUGACUCUGGAUAACACUUGAUGAGCGUGUCAUUCUUUGACACGCCGCCUACUUACGAGUGACUGACCUAUCAGCUAAAACGUAUGUUAUACGCAAACGUUGGCAGUAACGGGUAACGGGGAAUCAGAGUUUGAUUCCGGAGAGGCAGCCUGAGAAACGGCUACCACGUCUAAGGACGGCAGCAGGCACGCAAAUUACCCAAUCCCAGCACCUGGGGGAGGUAGUAACGAUACUUACUGAUGCGGGUCAAUCUUCGGAUUACUCGCAAUCGGAAUGGCUAUUUUCUAAACACCCUAUCGAGAACCUACUGGAGGGCAAGCCUGGUGCCAGCAGCCGCGGUAAUUCCAGCUCCAGUGGCGUAUGCCAAUGUUGCUGCGGUUAAAAGGCUCGCAGUUGAAUGUCAGUUAUAAUACGCGUAGGAUUGCCGGGACGUUGUUUGGAGCCGGUGUCUUACGACUCGGUUUUCAUUCCGUUCCUUGAGCGCAUUCCUCGCAAUCUAACAAUGAGUGUGGUUGUCGCCUGUAGCCUUCGGGUUGCAAACGGACACCGCAUUCGACACCUUGAGUAAAUCAGAGUGCUUAAAGCAGUCGUUAUAAAACGGUCUGCCUUUACGGUUUUGUGCCUUUGCGGGUAUAAGACUAAUCGGUAUGUCUGUGACGGGACUCGCGUCCUGUUGAAGACAUUGUCUUUGCUUUGCAUGGUACGUCGGAAGACGCCCUGUGAGUUGGUCGCGCUUACGAUUUGUGCACUCACGCCGAGGGGCUCACGCCUCUCGUGUGCGCGUGCGCCAACAAGCAGGGAAUGAUACGAAAGGGAUGGCUCGAAGGCAUUGGUAUUGCGGGGCGAGAGGUGAAAUUCUAUGACCCCCGCAAGACUACCCGAAGCGAAAGCGUCUGCCUAGGACGUCUUCAUUAAUCAUGAACGAAAGUUGAAGGAUCGAAGGCGAUCAGAUACCGCCCUAGUUUUAACCGUAAACUAUACCAACCAUCAAUCCGUCGGAGCGUUCCCUUACUCCCGGCAGUGUGGGGCGUGGCUUUACUGUCGCGUUCUCAUGCUGUUGUGGACAAGUGUAAGCUCGAUGGGCAGUUCCUUUCGAACGGAAAACCAGAGUUUUUCGGUUCCGGGGGGAGUCUGGUUGCAAAGCUGAAACUUAAAGGAAUUGACGGAAAGGCACCACCAGGCGUGGAGCUUGCGGCUUCAAUUUUGACUCAACACGGGAAAUCUCACCAGACCCGAACAUCUUUGAUGACUGACAGACUGAAAGCUCUUUCUCGAUAAAGUGGAUGGUGGUGCAUGGCCGUUCUUAGUUGGUGGAGUGAUCUGUCUGGUUAAUUCCGAUAACGAACGAGACUCUCCCCUGCUAACGAACCUUUGUGUUCUUGUAGACAGUGUGAUUCGAAUCAAGAGUUUGACUGGUAACGGUCUUAUCUCGGACGUUGUCCACUGAUCCUUGUUGCGAAUGUGUUGCUCGCGCCGCAUGGCCGUGCGUGCCCUCGGGUGUCGCGUGGUGCGUGGGUGUGUGGCGGCUCAUCUCGUGGCUCGGAGUACGUUUCUUCUUAGAGGGAUUGACGACUCUAUAAGUCGUAAGAGACAGAGAGCAAUAACAGGUCUGUGAUGCCCUUAGAUGUUCUGGGCUGCACGUGUGUUACAAUGCCGGGAUCAACGGGUUAUUGCACUUUAUCGUGUCCUACUCUGAAAAGAGUGGGUAAACCUCUGAAAUCCCUUACACGUGUGUUAAGGUCUUUGAUUUUACCACACGUAUCACGGCUUGCUUGGGACUGGGGAUUGCAACUAUUCCCCACGAACGAGGAAUGCCUUGUAGUGGCGAGUCACAGAGCUCGCUGCGACUCUGUCCCUGCCCUUUGUACACACCGCCCGUCGCUACUACCGAUUGAGUGUACCAGUGAGAUUCUUGGACUGGCGAACCGAACGGCUAACCCCGCUCGGCGUACGACAGAAAGAGACUCGAACUGGUGCACUUAGAGGAAGUAAAAGUCGUAACAAGGUUUCCGUAGGUGAACUGCGGA